This is a small nucleolar RNA of Brugia malayi, 89 nucleotides long. The record is from RefSeq and is a predicted model, not a curated record. NCBI's taxonomy places the organism in Eukaryota, Metazoa, Nematoda, Chromadorea, Rhabditida, Onchocercidae.
AAGUCCUCAGAUGGUGAUGCACGUUAGCAAAUUCAAAUCACGACCAAACUCAGAGAUCUUGGUGGUUAAAAGCGAUCAUCACUGAACUU